AGAACGAACGCUGGCGGCAUGCCUAACACAUGCAAGUCGAACGCGUGUAGCGAUACACGAGUGGCGGACGGGUGAGUAACGCGUGGGAACCUGCCCUGGAGUGUGGGAUAACCGAGGGAAACUUCGGCUAAUACCGCAUACGACCUGAGGGUGAAAGAUUUAUCGCUUAAGGAGGGGGUCGCGGCAGAUUAGCUAGUUGGCGGGGUAAUGGCCCACCAAGGCAGUGAUCUGUAU
RNAcentral lists this ribosomal RNA (234 nucleotides) under uncultured bacterium. RNAcentral's name for it is "partial small subunit ribosomal RNA". It matches the Rfam family "Bacterial small subunit ribosomal RNA", at positions 26 to 286 of the family's 1533-position model. The record is from RNAcentral.